GAUGGGGAGCGAAAUUUAGUAGCGAAGUAGCUGAUUUCACACUGUCAAGAAAAGUCUCUAUCGAGGUUAAAGGUACCCGUACCGCAAACCGACACAGGUGGGUGAGGAGAGUAUCCUAAGGCCAGCGAGAGAACUGUUGUUAAGGAACUCGGCAAAAUGACCCCGUAACUUAGGGAUAAGGGGUGCCACCAUCAGGUGGCCGCAGAGAAUAGGCCCAAGCGACUGUUUACCAAAAACAUAGGUUUCUGCUAAGUCGCAAGACGAUGUAUAGGAGCUGACGCCUGCCCGGUGCUGGAAGGUUAAGGGGAUCUGUUAGGC
Molecule: ribosomal RNA, 318 nt
Filed under: Clostridioides difficile
Lineage: Bacteria; Bacillati; Bacillota; Clostridia; Peptostreptococcales; Peptostreptococcaceae
Description: bacterial LSU rRNA
Rfam family: Bacterial large subunit ribosomal RNA
Source: RNAcentral